This 921-nucleotide ribosomal RNA is filed under the name uncultured archaeon. RNAcentral's name for it is "bacterial SSU rRNA". It matches the Rfam family "Archaeal small subunit ribosomal RNA", at positions 1 to 923 of the family's 1478-position model. The record is from RNAcentral.
UUUCCGGUUGAUCCUGCCGGAGGCCAUUGCUAUUGGAGUCCGAUUUAGCCAUGCUAGUCGUACGAGUUCAGACUCGUGGCGAAUAGCUCAGUAACACGUGGCCAAACUACCCUUCGGACCGCAAUACCCUCGGGAAACUGAGGCUAAUAGCGGACACCACACGCAGACUGGAAUGUCGCGUGUGUCAAACGCUCCGGCGCCGAAGGAUGUGGCUGCGGCCGAUUAGGUAGACGGUGGGGUAACGGCCCACCGUGCCAAUAAUCGGUACGGGUCAUGAGAGUGAGAACCCGGAGACGGAAUCUGAGACAAGAUUCCGGGCCCUACGGGGCGCAGCAGGCGCGAAACCUUUACACUGCACGCCAGUGCGAUAAGGGGAUCCCAAGUGCGUAGGCAUAGAGCCUACGCUUUUGUCCACCCUAGGGUGGUGGACGAAUAAGGGCUGGGCAAGACCGGUGCCAGCCGCCGCGGUAAUACCGGCAGCCCAAGUGAUGGCCGAUCUUAUUGGGCCUAAAGCGUCCGUAGCUGGCCGCACAAGUCCAUCGGGAAAUCCACCUGCUCAACAGGUGGGCGUCCGGUGGAAACUGUGUGGCUUGGGACCGGAAGGCGCGACGGGUACGUCCGGGGUAGGAGUGAAAUCCUGUAAUCCUGGACGGACCGCCGAUGGCGAAAGCACGUCGCGAAAACGGAUCCGACAGUGAGGGACGAAAGCUAGGGUCUCGAACCGGAUUAGAUACCCGGGUAGUCCUAGCCGUAAACACUGCCUGCUAGGUGUGGCACCCACUACGAGUGGGUGCUGUGCCGUAGGGAAGCCGCUAAGCAGGCCGCCUGGGAAGUACGUCCGCAAGGAUGAAACUUAAAGGAAUUGGCGGGGGAGCACUACAACCGGAGGAGCCUGCGGUUUAAUUGGAGUCAACGCCGGGA